AAACCGUUCAGGGGUAAACCUGAGAAACCUAAAAGAUCGAAUGGGGAGAUUCAUCGUCAGCUCAUCUGGUAUAUAUGCAAGUUGCGAUACAAAUUUAUCCUUGUGGUAUAAUUUGUACGUGCUUGUAUAUUUUAUUGCUGGGUGUUGUCGGCGUGCACUUCUCCCCUAGUAGAACGUCGCGACCCGUUAGGUGUCGGUCUACGGCCCAAAUGGUAGUCUUUGAUAUAUAUUUUCUAAUAUAUGUUGAAGACCAUUGGUGUUUCCUGAUCGGCUGCUUGACGGUAUAUAAUACGGUAUUGAGCCGCAAUAUAUUUGCGUUAAACCAAUCACAAGCAUAAUUAGUUAUCUAGUAGUGCGGACCUAGUGCCGUCGCUGGAGCUGAUUUGCUGUUAGUUGAUUGUGUUCUUUAACUGGCUCUUUAAUAAUAAUAUAUAAUACCAGUCAGCGAUGCUACUGCUUUGGGUACUUUCAGGA
RNAcentral lists this ribosomal RNA (474 nucleotides) under Orgilus lepidus. RNAcentral's name for it is "eukaryotic LSU rRNA". The record is from RNAcentral. Lineage: Eukaryota; Metazoa; Arthropoda; Insecta; Hymenoptera; Braconidae.